RNAcentral lists this ribosomal RNA (253 nucleotides) under uncultured bacterium. RNAcentral's name for it is "partial 16S ribosomal RNA". It matches the Rfam family "Bacterial small subunit ribosomal RNA", at positions 524 to 776 of the family's 1533-position model. The record is from RNAcentral.
UACGUAGGGACCGAGCGUUGUCCGGAAUCAUUGGGCGUAAAGAGCGUGUAGGCGGCCACUUAAGUCCUGCGUGAAAUCUUGCGGCUCAACCGCAAGCGGUCGUGGGAAACUGGGUGGCUAGAGUGCGGGAGAGGAGAGUGGAAUUCCUGGUGUAGCGGUGGAAUGCGCAGAUAUCAGGAAGAACACCCGUGGCGAAGGCGGCUUUCUGGAACGCAACUGACGCUGAGACGCGAAAGCGUGGGGAGCAAACAGG